UACGUAGGGGGCAAGCGUUAUCCGGAAUUAUUGGGCGUAAAGAGUACGUAGGUGGCAACCUAAGCGCAGGGUUUAAGGCAAUGGCUCAACCAUUGUUCGCCCUGCGAACUGGGAUGCUUGAGUGCAGGAGAGGAAAGCGGAAUUCCUAGUGUAGCGGUGAAAUGCGUAGAUAUUAGGAGGAACACCAGUGGCGAAGGCGGCUUUCUGGACUGUAACUGACGUUGAGGCUCGAAAGCGUGGGGAGCAAACAGG
This 252-nucleotide ribosomal RNA is filed under the name uncultured bacterium. RNAcentral's name for it is "partial 16S ribosomal RNA". It matches the Rfam family "Bacterial small subunit ribosomal RNA", at positions 524 to 776 of the family's 1533-position model. The record is from RNAcentral.